UACGAAGGGGGCUAGCGUUGUUCGGAAUUACUGGGCGUAAAGGGCGCGCAGGCGGCCCUCCAAGUCAGGCGUGAAAGCCCCGGGCUCAACCCGGGAACAGCGCUUGAGACUGGGGGGCUUGAGUUCGGGAGAGGAGAGUGGAAUUCCCAGUGUAGAGGUGAAAUUCGUAGAUAUUGGGAAGAACACCGGUGGCGAAGGCGGCUCUCUGGACCGACACUGACGCUGAGGCGCGAAAGCUAGGGGAGCAAACGGG
RNAcentral lists this ribosomal RNA (253 nucleotides) under uncultured bacterium. RNAcentral's name for it is "partial 16S ribosomal RNA". It matches the Rfam family "Bacterial small subunit ribosomal RNA", at positions 524 to 776 of the family's 1533-position model. The record is from RNAcentral.